Molecule: long non-coding RNA, 5026 nt
Organism: Bombus pascuorum
Lineage: Eukaryota; Metazoa; Arthropoda; Insecta; Hymenoptera; Apidae
Exons: 5
Source: RefSeq, a predicted model, not a curated record
ACACUCGUAAAUCUCCAGGCAACAGAAUAAUGGUUCAGAUUUAAGUAUCGUAGACUAACGCUGUAUUGGAGAAGGAAUUGAUGGAUAUUAAGAAACAAGAUAUUUUAUAGUUAUCAAAUAAAUCUCGACAUCCUAAUCGUCUUUGAAAUGAUUCGAAGAACAGGUGUCUCGACAACUCUAUUGCAAUCAUGGUACUAUCGACGGCGGAUCUAAAAAUAAAGUCACGAGUGUCGAGCAUCUCAACUGACGCAAUUCGCAGAAGCUUUUCUCAGCGAAGGAUUGUCCAUCCGAACUUCUACAUGUCAUCAAAUAUACGUGCCUGAACGCGUUUCCGAUGGAACGUGUCGCGUAAAACGCGCACUUGGAGAAGCUCCAGGUGCGGAGGAGGAAGUACGUGUAAAUUGUGAUGAAGUAAAAAGAGAAGUUGGAUGGAUCUAGCGGCAAAGCCACGUGCGUUGCUAUUUUUCACAGAAAUGAAACAGAAGCUGACUAUACAUUUUUAGAUUUAUCUAUACUAUAUAUAAGCAUAUAUUAUACAUCACAUACUAUCGAAUGAAUGAAAUAUUGUCAUAUAUCUUUUUCAGUUUAGACAAUCGAAUUAGCAAGAAAUUAAAAUUACAGAGUGCUCGUAUUUCAGAAGAUACGGAUAAACACUAUCCCUAAUGGUUAUACAGACCAGAACGAAAGGGAAAAAGUUCCUCGGAAAUUGAGGAAGGGGAUGUUUUUUUGUUCGAUAAGGAAAACAGCGUCAUUAAGUGCAAUCCUAUUCCGUUUCGAUCGUUCGGGUAAAAAAGUAAAUGUUUCGGUGAGUGUGUCAAGUAUCGUCUCGAAAAGUAUCCGGAAACGCCUGGUUCUUCUUAUAAAUCAGCGUCGGUACACUCCCUCUUUCCACGACCAUGUCAUUUAGCGAGAAGUUUUCUGCUGGAAAAAAAAGGGAAAAGCACGCGAUCGCUAUUUAAAAGGCUCGUAGGUGGGUGGCUUUUUAACCGAAGUAUAUACCGACGUAGGGAGAGGGCUUCGACUUCGCUCUUCGGCCUCAGUAUGGGGUUGCCGUGCUAUUUUCAGGCCGGUGGCUCGAUGCAGCUGUCGUGUUCUUCGGGUAAACCACCUCUCUUCUAUUCCACGGUCACUCGCGGGACAAGGUAGAACGUACAGAUUGGAAUUCUAAAUUCACGAUUCGAGAAUUCGUAAAGGAUGACGCAUCUUCGCUAAUUCUGUCCAAAAUUAGACGAUCGUGAUAAAAGAAACGUAGUACUACCGGAAGUUCGUUUUAUCAUUUUACCCUUUCUCGAAAUUGAUACCCUUCUCAUGUUAUUUUCGUUUAUCUAACCAUUUUUCUUUGUUAUUUUCUUUUCUCGAUGUUUCUGAAACCUUCCAUUCUUUACGAUUAAGGUUGUUCUUUCUACUGUAGAAUUGAAACGAUAAUUGAUAAAACGCACUAAGGCUGAAUGUAAUAAUAAAAAAAUAUUUUAUUUGUCAAUGUAAGAAUUACGCGAAGUUAUACUUUUGUACGGAAUAGUAAAAGGCAUCAGGAGAUAGAAAGAUAGAAACUAUGAGAACUAUUUAAUUGAUUGCCUCCAGCAAAUGUACGGGUAGAAGUGCGUGCUGAAGAAUAGAAGACGUGGAUGAAGAAGAUGACAAGAUUCGAAGAUCUUGGCAACGAGCCAGACGAGAUUUUCAGUCGUCUACGUGUACUUCCAACUUUCAUCUGUCUCCUCUUCUAGCCACCGUACACGUCCUCUAGGACCUAGGGUGCAAUGACACCGGGUUUUAGAUGACAAUUUUCUAUUUUCAGUACGUGAGUCAUUGUAUGCACAUACCUGUUCUAUGUAAAGUUGUUGGUUUUCUAUGAAUUCUUAAAAUUCCAGGAAAGUGAUUUUACAAUAUAAGAAUUUAAAUUAUUAAUUUAGUAAACUUAGAAUCUCGACGUAUAAUAAGAUGGAGACAAAAAAGAAAGAAGAAAGGAGUAUUAGAAGGUUAAAAAAUAUCAACCGGAACGGCCCUUAAUUUAGUUUCGGGUGCAAGAGAUUAACACAGGGUGGGGAUGUCCGUGGAAGUGCUCCUACAAGGGGAGAACGCCGUCAUACGAAGCACGUUGGUUCAUGUUUGGAGGAAUGUCUUUGGGUAUAAAGGGAGACAGUUCCUUCCGGAGACGGCGAACAGCCGCCUGUUUUACCCCUCUCACCCCUCAGAUUUGUUCCCUUUCUUUAUAUCGCUUUUCUUGCGAUUCGUCGUCACUUACUAUCUAUUAAGAUCAAUGAAUAGAUAUUUUUACUCGAAGCUUUUUUAUACAAAGAAAGUCUUAUAAAUUUUAUCAAAAUCAUCUGAAAAUCAAUUUAUAUGCGAAUAUAUAAUAUAUUAUAUUUUUAUUAUGUAUAUACACCAGAAAAUAAAGAGCAAUCUGAUGAUCAAUUUCAGGAAAGCAUGCAGAAUAAUGAAAUUUAUAAAGAGGACGGAAAUAUAGUAAUUCAUAGAUUAAUUGCAUGCUGAUCAAACUGUAGAACUAAAUGGCUUCGCAGGUGGCAAGCAGGCAUGCGAAUCUAAAAAGGGUCACACACACGAGCACGUGCUCGCAUUUUGCACAACCUUUUCAAAGACGGAGGCGAUCAGCUGGCGGUAUUCUCUCUUCCUUUUCCCCUCUUAUCUCCUUCAACAACGAGAAAAAAGAAUUAAAAAGGAUAAAAAUGAGCAUACACCCCCUUCGUCCGCACCCGCAUCCUGUGCCAGAGCAUAGUGCUGCUUUCGUAAAAACCGGCCUGUCGGUUUCCAUUCAAAAUGCGCGAGUCACGAGGGCUCAUUCACAAAUUUCACGACGAAAUUCUACACUCGGCCGGACCGUCUGCGAUCUUGAUCGAGACAACAGAGACAAACACGUAAGAGUGAGAGUGAUCGGGAUAUCCUUUUUCUUGAAACCUCUUGUUGCUGGAUUUAUAUUCACGUAAGUUUUUUUUUUUGCAACAAAAGAACCAACGAUGGUUCAUAAUGACGUACACGAUGCAUUUAAAUUCGUCGCAACCGGUAUGAGCACAGGAAUUUAUCGAGCAGUCAGCUGAUUUUACCUACAUAUACUGACGUAUAAGAUCUUUAAAUGAUCAUAAAAAUAAGGACACCCGAAAUUCUAUUGAAAAAAGUAAUCAAGAUAUGAGGUUUUACAAAAGGACUUUGUCAUGAUCAGUGUUCUUAAUUGACAUUGACAAAUGCACGAACAUUAGUACAAAUGAUAUUAGAUAGAAAAUUCUGUUCAUUGGUCUACGCUGACUGAAAUAUACUUAAUGACCAUGUAGAUUAUUGCCCGUUUGAGAUCUGGAGAAUGUUGAUGACUUCCGUUUCUCGCAUCAAGCAUCGGAAGCGCUAGGAUGUAAAAGAAAGAAAGAUGAACCGUUAACGCGACACACGGGUGCCGUUCGAUGAUUAUUCGACCGAGUGUCUGUUUUCUGAUGGGAUACAUCUCCUGUUGCAGUAGGUGGUUCCUUCUAUCGCUUCGCGUACGGACCACGUGCCACGCUGAUCCUCCCUCGUUGAUUCUCUUUCUUCCAUUGCCGUCGUCCAGACGGCUUUAAGGAGAGAUGAAAAAAAUGAAGGGGACGGAAAAAGAGGAAGUGGACUAGACGAUGAGGGGGCUGAGGUCGUAGUCCUGAACAGUUUGCUGGUGGAUUCAUGGAAUUCAUCCUUCUACGCACUUUUAAUCGUGGCUCAUUGAAGAAUCCAGGCGCAAGAAGAUGCUCGUUGCACAUUAUCUCAAUCCUUUAAACAGUUUCCGUAGCGAUUAAUGAAUGACAUGGGAAGAACUAGUAACCGUUUUACUACAGGGAAACCACAGGAAAGAGAGACUUGUAAUUUUUGUUUAAUAACGAAGCGGGAAACAUUUUUCGAAUCGCAUUGCAUUGGCGUUGUCUGAAAACAUUACUGUAUGAAAAUUCUACGAAGAAUGAUUAAGGUCGAUGAAGACGAAAAUGCGAUCUGUUGUCGUAACGAGGGAAAUCGGACAUCUCUAAGUAUAGCUCGUAUUUGCAUGCAGAUCAGGGACGGAUCGUACUGGGUUGCCAAGCUGCUACAACGUGCAAAGUCCACAAGCAAUCAUUUGUAUCUACUUCGAUGACGAUUACGAACUUGGCAAUGCUCGGAAAGAAGCGCCAUUGUUGCACAAUCAAAUUCCUUCUUUCGGCUUUGGGAUACUGAUUUCAAAAUUUCUCAUUGAGAAGUUUCUGUUAUUGUUACGAGAGUUUAUAAUACUUUAUAUGAGGUGGUUUCUAGGAUCAGUUAUCAUUAUUGCUCAAUGAUCUUAAAGGACCAAGUAGGAUUUGCCAACGAGGAAGGCGAGAGCUUCGUGCCAAGAGCGUUUAAUGACACUUUAUGAAAGACACUUCGUGAAGCUAAGAGAGAUGGUUUUUGUCUUGUUUGUAAACAUACAACAAUGUAUAAUAAGAGAAAAGAUACACUAUCAAUAUAGUAAUACACGAAAGACUAACUAAUCAAAAUGAUAAAUAUUGUUAACUAGAUGCAAAGAAUAAUCAAAGAAGCAUGUAAAUAAAAUUAAAUAAUAAUACAAGAAGAUAAAUUAGAUGCAUCUAAUGACGUUUUAGAUGAGCAUGAAUUCACAAAAUUAAAACCAUGACCAUUUUGCAAACUCCUGGCCGACCACCAACGAUUAACCAUUUAUAAUUACGAGGAUACUACAUUUUGGCACGUGACACAGCAUUUAUAGAUCGCGUCUCGAUUUAAUCGUCGUCGUUUCAAUUAUUUUUCUGGCUACCUGUCAUCAGAAGCGUGGAUCCGUGGAUCCAGUCGAUGCCAAUGAUCGAAAAAUAGAUCCGAGCGCAACCUGUUCGAAAUAGCUGGCGUGAAACCUGUAACGUAGCUGUGUGUGUGCCGUUAAUGUCAGCACGUUGAACGUGUAGAUCGGUAUUGGAAUACCGACAUCAUGGUCGGCAUUCAAAUGCAAAACACGACACAAGUCAAGUGAUUGCUGGCUUUGGCGAUGAACGUGUCUAUUGUUUCAGACAAUAUCUAUCCAUAGGUUGAUCAA